RNAcentral lists this long non-coding RNA (3660 nucleotides) under Gallus gallus (chicken). RNAcentral's name for it is "lncRNA (ENSGALG00010006973.1)". Lineage: Eukaryota; Metazoa; Chordata; Aves; Galliformes; Phasianidae. The record is from RNAcentral.
AGCUGAAUAUGUACAAGAGGUGGCACAGCCCUGUGUUUGUGACUGGACCAGUAUCACACUCUUUGCCUGCUACAGCACUAGCCCCAUACCAGCUCUUCCAGCUCCAGCUGCCAUACAUUAAACAUAUGUCAGGGAUCUCACUGGACCCACAAUCCUCUCAAAGCCCCACUGCCAGCAAAUCAAAAGCACCGUUCUACCAGGUACUUCAGAGUGGAAAGGAAGGACAGCGAUGUUAAGCCUGUGGGAAUUGAAUGCAAGUAAAAUUCCCUCUCAGAGAACUGCACUGCCACAUUUUCAGACCACGGAAUGCCAACAAGCUGUUUUCCCCUCUGAAUAAGCCGGGCCUAUGAAGAAAAUGUGAAAAUAGGAGAACCAUGAGCAAUAUUUACAAUAAUGAUAUAUCCAACUCAGGAAAUUGCUACAACUGCCUUUAUCAAAAUAAACAAACCCCGUAUUUUUUUCCUCCCGUAAGAGAAAAGCAAAAUCCUCCACUAUUAAAAUUAAUUUGGCUUGGUAUCUGUUUGGUAUUUGGAUCCGACCGCCUUAUUCCCCAUUUUUGGCCUCAUUUGGACAAAAAAAAAAAGAAAAAAAAAAGAAAAACACAAACCCACAACAAACAGAGGCCCAAACCGACACACACACACACACACACACACACACACACACACACAGCCCCAGCUGCCUCGCUCUGUCUCACAGGAGCACACACGCAGCCCCGCUCCAAGCUGACUCUGGCCACGGGGCACGGUGAGGCACGAAACCACCGCCCCGGGGCACCAGCUUGGUGUGGGAGUGUUGGAUCACUGCCUGCUCGGCACCGCACAACUGCACACCCAGAGCCGGGCGGUUCCAGGGGCACCGGCCCUGCGGAUCACCCCAUCCCGGGGCUUGGGCUUGCUGGGUGCCAGCCCCAGCAUCGCACGCUGGUUCCAAGUUUACUGAAGCAUGCUGCAGCCUUUGCUGCUGUGCCCAGUUUGCAGAUGGACUUUGUGCCAUCAAAAGGGAGAAGGUUUUUUUGGUUUUUUGUUUUGAUUUGUUUUGUUUUGUUUUAGAAUAUGCCAUUUCAAAGUAAAUUGAUUUCUUCUACUGAAAAAGUUUUUAGGAUUAAAGAGCCCUCGCUGCAUACAGAAAAACAUUUCUCCUAUUCCAACUCUUUCUGUGCUCAAAUGCCUCUUUCCUAGGCGUGUCCUAAAACGCAGAGGUAUGUCGCAGUCAUUCUAAAAGUUGUUUGAAACGUUAAGGUGAGGCUGGGCUUCUGCUAAAGGGUGAGACCCCCAGGGCCAGGAUCGCUGCCCUCCAGCGGGAUGCUGCCCACCUGCGCUGGCCCAGAAGAAGCACCAGGAGCUCAAAAGCACGGCCACCCCUCUGGGGGCAUCCCCAGAGAACCCGCAGCCACCCUUCCCGGGGCCGCAUCAGCUGCCCCUCUGCAGGUGACCACAGCGCCUUUGGGACCCCACGUCCUAAAGCUGGAGGUCUGAGCUCCAGGAGGAGAGGCAGUGUGAAGCCAUGAGAGCACUGGAGGUCUAUCAACAAAGUAUUAAUGUAGAAGCCCGAGUGAAAAGCAGAAAAGAAAAGAAAAAAAAAAAAAAAAAGAAAGAAAGAAAAGAAAAAAGCAAUCAAUGAAUGCCAUUCCCCAGCUAAGAGACGAGCCACCAAUUCUUGGCACAGCGAUAGAGAAAACCUUGAAAAGUUUCGCUCGGGUUCUGGAAUAAAGCUUUGGAUAAAAUGGAGCAAGUAGUUUGCGCGGUCGUCGUGCCAGUGAAUAGAUCUGCUGCUCUGGAUUUCAAUUAACUUAGUUUGUUCAGCGGGGAGGCACUUCAGCUGCAACCGGGGAGCUGCAAGUUAAAGGACAGCGAGAAAAACAGCGCAACAACAGCCAGAAAAACCUGUUGGCAGCAGAAGUUUGCACCGGCUGCAAGCAAAAUCAAAUCACAUCAAAUCAGGGGGUUUUAAAGAAAUCUUUUAAAGGCUUUGAAGGUUUCGGAGGAUCUCCGAGGCAGUCCCAGGUGAUCGUCGCUGUGGAGAGACCUCCACCGAUCAGCGUCCAUUUUACAUAAUUACUUCGGGUUCUCCAGAACAUUUUAUGUAACUCACUUCCACGGCUGCCUCUGUCCUUUCUCCUCUCUCUCCGUCACCGGCAGAGCAGCAGCUCAGCCCUCCGCCAGCACUGACAGGAGCUCACAUAAAAGGACCAUUUCGAAUGGAUCACUGGGAGCAGCCCCGAGAACCCACAGGAAACGUGGGCUCCGAAACUCGACAGUGCUCAGCGGGCGACGAAACGCAUCACACAUCCCUCCCCAGCCAAAUAUGUGUAUGCAUAUAUAUAAACAUAUACAUAUAAUAAGGAUUAAUUCGGAGGAAAGCUCCGAGGUUUGAAACGACAAAUAAGCAGGGAUAUUUGCGCGAGGAAAAAAAAAAAAUGGUAAAUAAAUAGUUACUGGUGCUGGACAAAAUGGCUCGAUAGGUUUCAUAAUUUGCCACCGCUGUAAAAAAUAUCCCCUCCCUUCCCCCUGCCGUCCCCGCCGGCACGGACGGAAGCGCGGAGCGGAGGGUGGGGGGCAGCCGAGGAUACCAACUCCCUCCGCCAAAGUUUGGGUCCUUCCGAACCCGGCGAUGCCUCCAUAACGUGACAUCAGCUCCGAGAGACAAAAGUUGAGAUCUGCGUCUCCUUUCUGCCCGGGAAAGGAAACUGGAAAAAUACUAAUAAUGAAAAAUAGACGUUAAAAAUACCCGAGAGGAAAAAGUCGACGGACGAUCACCCGAAUUAACCCCCUCCGCCCCCGCAGGCAAACAGACAAACGACAAAACCUCCGGCUAAAGCCCCGUCGGGAGGAGUGGAACCUGCUUUCUCCGCUUUCUCUUUUCUGCUUUUAUUUAACGUAUGGCGAGCCUGGACUUCAAACUUAUAGCCGACACACGGCCACACAACAAAGAGUCCCCGUUCACCCCCGUCGCCGGCGCUGCGGGCAGAAGUCGUCGGCAAAUACGCGCCGUGUUCCGCGAGCAGACAUAAAUCUCUCACGACGCUCUCCCAAACAGGCCAAGGGUAGUUCACAUAGAGGGCUGGCUUCGCACACGCUCACCCCGCUCCUCGUAUUCUUUGGAUGGAGGAAGGCUGGCAGCAAGGUGCACAGACAAAAGACCGGGGAGCCAACGCACGCAAUCACUCGCUGCUACAUCUUCACGUAUUUUUACAAUACGCUCUCCUAUCCACACCGCUUCCAAAAUAAUUUUCAGCCAGCCCUGCCUCUCGUCGCACGUAAACUUACGCCGUCACAGGAAUUCUGUUGACUCUCAUGAUGACAUAUGAAAGUGGCAAAACGAGGUUUUGCGCCCGGAUUUCGCCUUCAGACAAAGCUCCCCCAGCAACUUCAUCAGCAGGGAAUUAUAGUUUCACCCGGAGAAACUGGGUCCAAGGGAAAAAGAAAAUAAAAGUUAAGUGGUAUUGCCAUGGCUAUGCUAUGAAUCAUAGAUUCACAGAAUCACAGAGUCAUUGAAUCACAGAAGGGUUGGGUUAGAAGGGACCUGGAAGCCCAUCCGGCUCCAAGCCUGUGCUGUGGGCAGGGCUGCCCCAAAGCAGCUCAGGCUGCUCAGGGCCCCAUCCAACCUGGCCUUGAGCACCUGUAGGGAUGUGGAAAAUCAGUGGACAAACAAACGAGG